Molecule: long non-coding RNA, 891 nt
Filed under: Macaca fascicularis (crab-eating macaque)
Lineage: Eukaryota; Metazoa; Chordata; Mammalia; Primates; Cercopithecidae
Description: lncRNA (ENSMFAG00000050114.1)
Source: RNAcentral
UGGAGAAAUUAACAUCUUCUGUUUUGGGCACAAAAAUGUGGCUUUGUGAAUUCUUAGGAAAAGCCCUGGAAUAAUUGAGCUAUAAGAUCCAUGAAGACAAGACUUGGCACCAACCAUAAUGGUUAUUAGGUAGCACCAGAAAAAAACAAAUGAAAAACCUCUCAAAUUUACUAGCCAAAAUCCUCCAUGAAGGAAACCAUCACAGUAGUGGUAAAUUGGCUGUAAUAUUAAAUAAACAUGGGUGGGAAAACAUUUUUUGAAUAGCAGAGGAUGGGUAAUUCUUGCCUUCUCUGUAGCUAAUAUAAUUUUUUUUUUUUUUGAAAGGAAGUCUUGCUCUGUCGCCCAGGCUGGAGUGGAGUGCAGCGGUGUGAUCUCUGCUCACUGCAACCUGCGCCUCCCGGGUUCAAACAAUUCUCCUGGCUCAGCCUCCUGAGCAGCUGGGAUUACAGGUCUGCACUACCUUUAUGAGCUGUAAUACUCACCGGGAAGGUCUGCAGCUUCACUCCUGAAGCCAACAAGACCACCAACCCACUGGGAGGAACGAACAACUCCAGACCCGCCACCUUUAAGAGCUGUAACACUCACUGUGAAGGUCUACAGCUUCACUCCUGAAGUCAGCAAGACCACGAACCCACCAGAGGCGUGUUCCUUCAAAGAUGCAUUUCAGCUCUUCCAGAAUCAAGAUAUGGCUUCAAGUGCUUAAAUGAAACAUAAUUCUACAGUGAAUAAAUACUAUCUCACAGGAAAUACAUACUUUUUUUCCAGGAAACAAAAAAUUAGCAAAAUGAAGACAAUUAAUGAUUGCAUAAUUGACCUCUGAGGAGAACAGAGCAACAUUUGAGGAUAACAGAACAACCCCCUGAAAACCUAGGAGUCAAAUUAUACCUAAAC